CCGUUGUACACACCGCCCGUCACACCAUGGGAGCGGGUUCUGCCAGAAGUAGUUAGCCUAACCGCAAGGAGGGCGAUUACCACGGCAGGGUUCGUGACUGGGGUG
RNAcentral lists this ribosomal RNA (105 nucleotides) under uncultured bacterium. RNAcentral's name for it is "partial 16S ribosomal RNA". It matches the Rfam family "Bacterial small subunit ribosomal RNA", at positions 1378 to 1482 of the family's 1533-position model. The record is from RNAcentral.